RNAcentral lists this ribosomal RNA (324 nucleotides) under uncultured eukaryote. RNAcentral describes it as "partial 18S ribosomal RNA". It matches the Rfam family "Eukaryotic small subunit ribosomal RNA", at positions 1470 to 1796 of the family's 1831-position model. The record is from RNAcentral.
CCCUUAGAUGUUCUGGGCCGCACGCGCGCUACACUGAUGCAUUCAACGAGCACUCGCUUGGCCGAGAGGUCAGGCUAACCUUUGAACGUGCAUCGUGCUGGGGAUAGAUGAUUGCAAUUAUUCAUCUUCAACGAGGAAUUCCUAGUAAACGCAAGUCAUCAGCUUGCAUUGAUUACGUCCCUGCCCUUUGUACACACCGCCCGUCGCACCUACCGAUUGAAUGGUCCGGUGAAAUUCUCGGACGACGCCAGGGAAUGUUAAUUCGGCACCUGGUGUUGAAAGUUAAUUAAACCUUACCAUUUAGAGGAAGGUGAAGUCGUAACA